Molecule: ribosomal RNA, 370 nt
Filed under: Stramenopiles sp.
Lineage: Eukaryota
Description: partial small subunit ribosomal RNA
Rfam family: Eukaryotic small subunit ribosomal RNA
Source: RNAcentral
AUUCCAGCUCCAAUAGCGUAUAUUAAUGUUGUUGCAGUUAAAAAGCUCGUAGUUGAAACUUUGACAUUGGCAAAACUACAAGUUUUGACCGUGUCUAUACUCGCAAACAUCCUGUUUCUCAUUAAUUUGAGUUUCAGUUAUGUUGCGUCGUCUACUGUGAACAAAUUAGGGUGUUCAAAGCAAACCAUUCGUUUGAAUACAUUAGCAUGGAAUAAUAGGAUACGAUCCUGGCUGUAUCGUAUUGGUAACUGCCAGGAUAAUGGUUGAUAGGAACUGUUGUGGGUAUUCGUAUGAGCAUGCCAGAGGUGAAAUUCUUGGAUUUUGAUCAGACGAACUACUGCGAAAGCAUUUACCAAGGAUGUUUUCAUCA